Camellia sinensis is the source of this 208-nucleotide non-coding RNA. The record is from RefSeq and is a predicted model, not a curated record. Lineage: Eukaryota; Viridiplantae; Streptophyta; Magnoliopsida; Ericales; Theaceae.
CACAACAUUUGCCUUCCUUUUCUGUGGAUACCUUUGUAGCUCCUACCAAGAGGUUAAAUCUGUUGUGUUGCGUACGCUGAAUCGAGCCAGGUUAAAUGUGGCUAUAGAUUCCUUCCUUAAGACAGGGAGAGUUCCAACACUGGAGGAGGGAAAUAGGAUGGAAAAAAUAUUCAGUUUUCCCUAGUCAAAAGAGAGGCUUGUUGUUCUC